AUGAGCUGCACCACCUCGUCCAUAUCGGGGCGCUUAUCAGGAUUUCCAUCCCAGCAUUUACGCAUAAUGUUCGCAAAUGCACUUGGACAGCAACGGGGUAUGUCUGGCCGCAAAUUCUGUGUCUGGGUAUGGCAUGUCACAGCAAUAGAUUUCCCACAAGCAAAUGCCAAAACUGUAAACAUCACAUUUCCUGUUGUAUGGUUUACCAUCAAGAACCUGUAA
RNAcentral lists this ribosomal RNA (222 nucleotides) under Triticum aestivum (bread wheat). RNAcentral's name for it is "partial small subunit ribosomal RNA". Lineage: Eukaryota; Viridiplantae; Streptophyta; Magnoliopsida; Poales; Poaceae. The record is from RNAcentral.